RNAcentral lists this ribosomal RNA (460 nucleotides) under uncultured bacterium. RNAcentral describes it as "partial 16S ribosomal RNA". It matches the Rfam family "Bacterial small subunit ribosomal RNA", at positions 338 to 795 of the family's 1533-position model. The record is from RNAcentral.
CCUACGGGUGGCAGCAGUGAGGAAUAUUGGUCAAUGGACGAGAGUCUGAACCAGCCAAGUAGCGUGAAGGAUGACUGCCCUAUGGGUUGUAAACUUCUUUUAUAUGGGAAUAAAACAGGGUAUGCAUACCCUCUUUUAUGUACCCUAUGAAUAAGGAACGGCUAAACUCGUGCCCGCAACCCGGGGAAUAACGAGGAUCCGAGCCUUUUCCGGAUUUAUUUGGUUUAAAGGGAUUGUUGGUGGAUUGUUAAGUCAGUUGGGAAAGUUUGUGGCUCAACCGUAAAAUUGCAGUUGAAACUGGCAGUCUUGAGUGCAGGAGAGGUAGGCGGAAGUCGUGGUGUAGCGGUGAAAUGCUUAGAUAUCACGCAGAACUCCGAUUGCGAAGGCAGCUCACUGGACUGCAACUGACACUGAUGCUCGAAAGUGUGGGUAUCAAACAGGAUUAGAUACCCGGGUAGUC